RNAcentral lists this ribosomal RNA (490 nucleotides) under uncultured bacterium. RNAcentral describes it as "partial 16S ribosomal RNA". It matches the Rfam family "Bacterial small subunit ribosomal RNA", at positions 29 to 507 of the family's 1533-position model. The record is from RNAcentral.
AGUGAACGCUGGCGGCAGGCCUAACACAUGCAAGUCGAACGGCAGCACAAGAGAGCUUGCUCUCUGGGUGGCGAGUGGCGGACGGGUGAGGAAUGCAUCGGAAUCUGCCCAUUUGUGGGGGAUAACCUCGGGAAACCGGGACUAAUACCGCAUACGACCUACGGGUGAAAGCAGGGGAUCUUCGGACCUUGCGCAGAUGGAUGAGCCGAGGCCGGAUUAGCUAGUUGGAGGGGUAAAGGCCCACCAAGGCGACGAUCCGUAGCUGGUCUGAGAGGAUGAUCAGCCACACUGGGACUGAGACACGGCCCAGACUCCUACGGGAGGCAGCAGUGGGGAAUAUUGGACAAUGGGCGCAAGCCUGAUCCAGCCAUGCCGCGUGUGUGAAGAAGGCCUUCGGGUUGUAAAGCACUUUUGUUGGGAAAGAAAAGCAGCCGGUUAAUACCCGGUUGUCAUGACGGUACCCAAAGAAUAAGCACCGGCUAACUUCGUG